This 751-nucleotide long non-coding RNA is filed under the name Homo sapiens (human). RNAcentral's name for it is "PREDICTED lncRNA (TCONS_00146102)". Lineage: Eukaryota; Metazoa; Chordata; Mammalia; Primates; Hominidae. The record is from RNAcentral.
CGGCCGGGGCCUUCUUGGCCACAGGCCGGGUGCUCUGUGGGGCCUACCCUACGCCUCUCCGCCGUCCUCCCCCGAACUGGUGGUUACGCGGGCCGCGAGUUACCGUGAGCACGGCUGGGAUGCUGACGGGGAAAGAGCUGACAGAGAAGGCGGACGGCAUGGUGUUGGGAAGCCCGCUCUCACAGCAACCGCCGAACCCGGCCUGGCCAGAAUCCACAGAGGAGGGCGCCAAAUCCUCUCUCGUGAGAUCUGCCCUUCUCACGAAACUUGCGCUUGCUUCCUCUCGCGGUCCCAGCAGGCAGCUGAUUGUUUAGAUGGAGAGACCACAGGGGAGAGUUACCUGUUGCUGUGGGAGCAAUGAGGAGUUAUGGAGGAAAGGAGAGGUACCAAGACCAGACCAAAUCCCUGAUGGCUGGUGUGGCCAGGCAUGUAGUGGAGGCUGGCCCUGGAGAGAAGAGGAACAGAAACUGAUUUUAAUCUCAAGGGGCUGAAGCUGGAGCUCCACAUGUGACCCCCAGAAGCACGGGACCCCAUCCGGGACGCCGCUGUGCAUGCAGCUGUCACAUCUCCCUGGACCCCCCUCUGCUGGCAGUUUCUCAGAUUUUCCUUGUUUUCGAUGACUGGGAUAGUUUUGAAGAGUAAUGGUCAGGCAUGCUGUAGAAUUUCUCUCAGUUGGGGUUUUUCUGAUGAUCUGAUUGGGAUUAUGGAAUUUGGGGAAGAAGACCAUAGAAGUAAAGUGCUAUUUUUAUUA